Molecule: small RNA, 89 nt
Filed under: Gibbsiella quercinecans
Lineage: Bacteria; Pseudomonadati; Pseudomonadota; Gammaproteobacteria; Enterobacterales; Yersiniaceae
Description: CyaR/Rye RNA
Rfam family: CyaR/Rye RNA
About the family: This sRNA was originally identified in a large scale screen of E. coli.
Source: Rfam by way of RNAcentral
UUCGCGAAAACCAAGAACGAAAAUAUUUGCAUAGCAAUACUAGGAACCACCUCCUUGGCCAACCCAAUCUCCCUUGGGUUGGCUUUUCU